GCUCAGGAGAGCGCAGAGCACAUCGAUGGCGACGCCAAAGCAGAAGGGGCGGGGUCGCCGGGGACUGCCAAGAAAGCCCAGAAUUUAUCUUACAGCUACAAGCAAGGUGCCUGGCUGCCCUCAACACUUCCCUAAAGGGGGAAGGAAGUGACUAUGGAAAUGGCGGAGCCAAGCAAAACCAGGGAGGGCAGACCUUCCGUCACUGGUCACCGUUGAGGCAAAAGCCCUGCGCGGCCUGAGCCCCGGCCCUGCCCAAACAGGGGUUGUGGAUUUUGUGGAAGAAUACCAUGGAAGUAAAGUGCCAUUCUCUUGACAUCAUACCAGAGGGACACGCUAUCAACAGGGAUGAUAUUAGUCCAAAUCACUAGACAAGGCAGUGUUUAUCGAGCCUCACCACCAUAAAGUUCUUUCUUUACUCCUUUCCAUGUUCUAUUCUUUGGAACCCAUUCACUAAGUACAGCCUACUUUUGCCUGUUUGUUUUUUAAAUAGCAUUGUUUGUCUUACUGAGUUUUAGAAGUUUUUGUGUAUCCUAAAUAAAAGUUAUUUAUUAGAUAUACA
Long non-coding RNA from Herpailurus yagouaroundi (jaguarundi), 559 nucleotides. RefSeq lists it as uncharacterized. The record is from RefSeq and is a predicted model, not a curated record. The transcript is spliced from 3 exons. Lineage: Eukaryota; Metazoa; Chordata; Mammalia; Carnivora; Felidae.